RNAcentral lists this ribosomal RNA (459 nucleotides) under uncultured Sphingobacteriales bacterium. RNAcentral's name for it is "bacterial SSU rRNA". It matches the Rfam family "Bacterial small subunit ribosomal RNA", at positions 920 to 1382 of the family's 1533-position model. Lineage: Bacteria; Pseudomonadati; Bacteroidota; Sphingobacteriia; Sphingobacteriales. The record is from RNAcentral.
CCCGCACAAGCGGAGGAACAUGUGGUUAAUUCGAUGAUACGCGAGGAACCUUACCUGGGCUUAAAUGGGGAGUGACAGCUGUCGAAAGAUGGUUUUCUUCGGACACUCUUCAAGGUGCUGCAUGGUUGUCGUCAGCUCGUGCCGUGAGGUGUCGGGUUAAGUCCCAUAACGAGCGCAACCCUUACCGUUAGUUACCAUCAGGUUAAGCUGGGGACUCUAGCGGGACUGCCACCGUAAGGUGAGAGGAAGGUGGGGAUGACGUCAAAUCAGCACGGCCCUUAUGUCCAGGGCUACACACGUGUUACAAUGGCCAGUACAAAGGGCAGCUACCGGGUGACCGGAUGCUAAUCUCUAAAGCUGGUCUCAGUUCGGAUCGAAGUCUGCAACCCGACUUCGUGAAGCUGGAUUCGCUAGUAAUCGCGCAUCAGCCAUGGCGCGGUGAAUACGUUCCCGGGCCUU